AACUUAAGGAAUUGACGGGGCCCGCACAAGCGGUGAGUAUGUGGUUUAAUUCGAUGCAACGCGAAGAACCUUACCUGGUCUUGACAUCCCGGAGACCCUUAGGAAACUAGGGGGUGCUUCCAUCUGGAAGAAUCUGGAGACAGGUGCUGCAUGGCUGUCGUCAGCUCGUGUCGUGAGAUGUUGGGUUAAGUCCCGCAACGAGCGCAACCCUUGCCUUUAGUUGCCAGCAGUUCGGCUGGGCACUCUAAAGGGACUGCCGGUGUUAAACCGGAGGAAGGUGGGGAUGACGUCAAGUCCUCAUGGCCUUUAUGACCAGGGCUACACACGUACUACAAUGGCCGAUACAAAGGGUUGCCAAGCCGCGAGGUGGAGCUAAUCCCAUAAAACCGAUCGUAGUCCGGAUCGCAGUCUGCAACUCGACUGCGUGAAGUCGGAAUCGCUAGUAAUCGUGAAUCAGAAUGUCACGGUGAAUACGUUCCCGGGCCUU
Molecule: ribosomal RNA, 487 nt
Filed under: uncultured Desulfobulbus sp.
Lineage: Bacteria; Pseudomonadati; Thermodesulfobacteriota; Desulfobulbia; Desulfobulbales; Desulfobulbaceae
Description: bacterial SSU rRNA
Rfam family: Bacterial small subunit ribosomal RNA
Source: RNAcentral